AAGUCGUAACAAGGUUUCCGUAGGUGAACCUGCGGAAGGAUCAUUAUUGAGUUUUGAACGGGUUGUAGCUGGCCUCUGACGAGGCAUGUGCACGCCUGGCUCAUCCACUCUUAACCUCUGUGCACUUUUUGUAGGAAUGACGGAUAUUGACUUUUGUCAGUGGAAGUCUUUUCUAUGUUUUUAUCACAAACACUCUAGUAACAGAAUGUAACUUUGCAUAUAAUGCAUUAUAUACAACUUUCAGCAACGGAUCUCUUGGCUCUC
RNAcentral lists this unclassified non-coding RNA (264 nucleotides) under Ceriporia viridans. Its description in RNAcentral is "partial internal transcribed spacer region". The stretch from base 1 to 46 matches the Rfam family "Eukaryotic small subunit ribosomal RNA", at positions 1786 to 1831 of the family's 1831-position model. The record is from RNAcentral. Lineage: Eukaryota; Fungi; Basidiomycota; Agaricomycetes; Polyporales; Irpicaceae.